AGAGUUUGAUCAUGGCUCAGAUUGAACGCUGGCGGCAGGCCUAACACAUGCAAGUCGAACGGUAACAGGAAGAAGCUUGCUACUUUGCUGACGAGUGGCGGACGGGUGAGUAAUGUCUGGGAAACUGCCUGAUGGAGGGGGAUAACUACUGGAAACGGUAGCUAAUACCGCAUAACGUCGCAAGACCAAAGAGGGGGACCUUCGGGCCUCUUGCCAUCGGAUGUGCCCAGAUGGGAUUAGCUAGUAGGUGGGGUAACGGCUCACCUAGGCAACGAUCCCUAGCUGGUCUGAGAGGAUGACCAGCCACACUGGAACUGAGACACGGUCCAGACUCCUACGGGAGGCAGCAGUGGGGAAUAUUGCACAAUGGGCGCAAGCCUGAUGCAGCCAUGCCGCGUGUAUGAAGAAGGCCUUCGGGUUGUAAAGUACUUUCAGCGGGGAGGAAGGGAGUAAAGUUAAUACCUUUGCUCAUUGACGUUACCCGCAGAAGAAGCACCGGCUAACUCCGUGCCAGCAGCCGCGGUAAUACGGAGGGUGCGAGCGUUAAUCGGAAUUACUGGGCGUAAAGCGCACGCAGGCGGUUUGUUAAGUCAGAUGUGAGAUCCCCGGGCUCAACCUGGGAACUGCAUCUGAUACUGGCAAGCUUGAGUCUCGUAGAGGGGGGUAGAAUUCCAGGUGUAGCGGUGAAAUGCGUAGAGAUCUGGAGGAUUACCGGUGGCGAAGGCGGCCCCCUGGACGAAGACUGACGCUCAGGUGCGAAAGCGUGGGGAGCAAACAGGAUUAGAUACCCUGGUAGUCCACGCCGUAAACGAUGUCGACUUGGAGGUUGUGCCCUUGAGGCGUGGCUUCCGGAGCUAACGCGUUAAGUCGACCGCCUGGGGAGUACGGCCGCAAGGUUAAAACUCAAAUGAAUUGACGGGGGCCCGCACAAGCGGUGGAGCAUGUGGUUUAAUUCGAUGCAACGCGAAGAACCUUACCUGGUCUUGACAUCCACAGAACUUUCCAGAGAUGGAUUGGUGCCUUCGGGAACUGUGAGACAGGUGCUGCAUGGCUGUCGUCAGCUCGUGUUGUGAAAUGUUGGGUUAAGUCCCGCAACGAGCGCAACCCUUAUCUUUUGUUGCCAGCGGUCCGGCCGGGAACUCAAAGGAGACUGCCAGUGAUAAACUGGAGGAAGGUGGGGAUGACGUCAGGUCAUCAUGGCCCUUACGACCAGGGCUACACACGUGCUACAAUGGCGCAUACAAAGAGAAGCGACCUCGCGAGAGCAAGCGGACCUCAUAAAGUGCGUCGUAGUCCGGAUUGGAGUCUGCAACUCGACUCCAUGAAGUCGGAAUCGCUAGUAAUCGUGGAUCAGAAUGCCACGGUGAAUACGUUCCCGGGCCUUGUACGCACCGCCCGUCACACCAUGGGAGUGGGUUGCAAAAGAAGUAGGUAGCUUAACCUUCGGGAGGGCGCUUACCACUUUGUGAUUCAUGACUGGGGUGAAGUCGGAGCAAGGUAACCGUAGGGGAACCUGCGGUUG
This 1522-nucleotide ribosomal RNA is filed under the name metagenome. Its description in RNAcentral is "bacterial SSU rRNA". It matches the Rfam family "Bacterial small subunit ribosomal RNA". The record is from RNAcentral.